RNAcentral lists this long non-coding RNA (3008 nucleotides) under Bemisia tabaci. RNAcentral describes it as "lncRNA ENSSSA1NGG008268". Lineage: Eukaryota; Metazoa; Arthropoda; Insecta; Hemiptera; Aleyrodidae. The record is from RNAcentral.
ACUGGGCAAUAUCGCCAACGGGGUGUAACACAUACAUAUGUACAUACAUUUGAUCUCUCCUCUAAGGUGUUACUUAAGGCUCUAUUGUUAAAAGAACCAAAUAAACGUAUCUACCACCAACCAUAAGUACAGAUCAUUUUGUCAUAUCUCCUCCAAUAAUUAUUCAAUUUAUGAACCAAAGAUAUCCUCGUGUUCAGCUCACUUGGUAGCGUCCAUUCAAACAUGGAAUUCAUCAAAUUUCAGACACCCGCAAAUUCUCCAUUGCUGCAGACAUAGCUGAGGGCGAAUUAAAAACAACCGUAUUGUACACGUUGAAAAACAUUUUGACCACUGUGCCACUAUGGUAUGAAUACGGCCCAUAGGCUCCGAUGCAUAUAAUUAUGUUUGGCGUUAGUGGCUAGUGUAUAAUCGAGCUUGAUCCAUGAGCGUGAUUGGGGGUGUUUCAGACAAGGACGAGUGCGCGGUGAACAACGGGGGCUGUCAGCACGAGUGUCGGAACACGGUGGGCUCCUACUCGUGCUCCUGUCACAACGGGUUCACACUCCACGAGAACGGCACGAUUGCAAGGAGGGCGAGUGCAAGUACGAGAUCACCGCCCCGACCGGGAAAAUCACGAGCCCCAACUACCCGGACAACUACCCCAACAAGAAGGACUGCGUCUGGCACUUCACCACCACCCCGGGCAUCGCAUCAAACUGGUUUUUGAGGAGUUCGAAGUAGAAUCUCAGCCGGAUUGUUACUACGACCACAUCCAACUGUACGACGGGGAUUCAACAGAUUCGACAACCUUGGGCCGGUUUUGCGGCAACAAAGUUCCGCACCCAAUCGAUGCCUCUACCAAUCAGCUUUACAUGGUUUUCAAGUCCGACUCAACUGCACAUCGCAAGGGUUUUCUCGCCCAUCAUUCCACAGGUUUGUAGUUCCUAUUUUCUAUACGAUUUUAUUGGAGUGUAUGGAGCCGUUGAAGAAACGUUUUGUAUUAAUUAUCUUCCGUUCAAAUAAGUUGAAACAAAUUCUUUAAACUGUGUCAGGUCGAAGACGUUUUGUCAACGACAACAAUACUAAAAAAAAAAAAAAAAAGGGGGGAAACGGGAAAAAGGGAGAUUUACGCUGUUUCGCACUAUCUUGAUGGGUAAUGAAGGAGACAGGGACAAGUUUGACGACUAUUUCCAAGUUCAAAUGAUUUUUUCUCGACUUUGAAUUUUCGGCGGGAGAAAAUUCACGUCUAGUUGAAUUCAAAAUUCAUUUUUUUUUUAAAUGCGACAUUUUGCGUUUUCGUCGAACUCGAUCCAUUAAAAGGCACCUUUCUGAAUACUUCGCGGAAUUUUGGUACACAAUUUGAAAACCUCGCUUACACUGGUCAACAAUUUCUUUUUUUGUAUAGUUUUGCCAGAUGCUUAGUAAACGGAGCAGGGGAGAUGCCCUAGUAAAAGUGAGUCAGGCUGAUUCACUUAUACUAGGGAUACUUAUUUGGCGCUGAUUCCAAAAAUGACCUCCUUUUUCCUUAAAAUAACAAAAACCGAAAUUUCUCUGAAAAAGCUUAUUUUAAGGGAAAACGCCGACUUUUCCAGGGAAAAUCCAAAUUUAUACAGAAAAAUGGAGAUCAAUUUCGGAUUCAGCGCUAAAAAUUAGGUGAAAUACUGAAACUAAUUCUGGGCAAACUGCCCCCGUGUUGAUUUAUAAUAACCCUUCCAUCUUCAAGUUUUAAUACGGCCAUCCUGGCGUGUCAUUUCCCUAGUGUGUGGAGGACAUCUACCAGCAACGAAGGCUGUGAGACAUCUCUACUCCCACGCCAAAUUUGGCGAUCACAACUACGAAACUGGGCCGAGUGCGAUUGGGUCAUCGAAGCACCGGCAGGAAUGAAAAUCCAGUUCACGUUCCUCACUUUUGCCCUCGAAGACGAGAAAAGCUGCGCGUACGAUUAUGUGGAAAUCAUAAGCGGGAUGGAAGCAUCAGGCUCCUCUUACGGCAGGUUCUGCGGUGAUUCGGCGAGUAUUAUGUUGUCUUCUUCAAAUUCAUGAGGGGUUCCCGGUUCCCCUCCCAAGUAGCAUUUUUCAACGGAAAAAUCGGGAUACAUUGCAAUUUUAUCGGCGAUAAAAUCGCUAGGAUCAUCAACAUCUGAGUGAUUAUCUUUGAUCCUAUCGGGAUAAAAUCGCGAUUUUAUCGCAAGACAAUUUAUCGCGAUAUUUUCGAAACAAAAUCGCGAUAAAUGGCGAUUUAAUCUCGAUUUUAGUUUAUCAACGAAAAUUGAUCCCCUGCUAAAAAUGAUGAGAAGUCUGUGCAGAAUUCACCGACUCACAUGAGUGGAAUUUCCUACUUAUAUGAGUAGAAAUCCUACCUACUCAAAUCACUAGAAUAUUCUACCCAUAAUAGUAGAAAAGUUCAACUCAUAUGAAAUCAAUUUUUUUCAUUUUUCAGAGGUGGUGUUUUUGACCAGGAGACACCGACAUUAAGUAAAUCGACGGUGUAAGUCGGCAAUCACAUAACUCGUUUGCGGUGUCUGAAAAUCUCCGCCUCCAUGUUAUUUUUUUAAAGGAAAACAAAUUAACAUUCCGUGAAGUUUUGUAGAAUUUUCUUGGCACAGCGAAGAAAAAUCACGGCAGCUUUUAAGAAUUGCCGUUGAGUAGUUUUCCGUUUAAUAAAUAAAGUUAUGACAGGAAAUCUGCGACGUCGCAAACCAAGUUAUGUAAUUGCCGACUUAUUACACCGUCGAUAUACGUUUCACGCAGACCAGCGACCGCACUGUAUUUGGUGCAAUGCGUGAAGUAUUCAUUAAGUCUUGUAGGCGCUAACAUGCUUUGAGCGCCGACCGGUGACCGCACUGUGCUCGGCGCAAUGCGUGAAAGUAUUCAUGCAGUCUUGUAGGCGCUAAUAUGCCCUGCGCGCCGACCGGCGACCGCACCGUGCUUGGCGCAAUGCGUGAAGUAUUCCUGCAGUUCGUAGGCGCCAAUAGACCGUUAUUUUAUUGCAGAUUGAAAAAAGCGCGAUUUCAAGCAAAAUUUCAAGCA